AUUAAAGUGCCUGAAAAAGGAUUAUUUUGAUAGAAUAAACCAUGUAUAUACCUUUAAAUAUACCUUUAAUA
This 71-nucleotide transfer RNA is filed under the name Runaria punctata. RNAcentral's name for it is "tRNA-Ile". The record is from RNAcentral. Lineage: Eukaryota; Metazoa; Arthropoda; Insecta; Hymenoptera; Blasticotomidae.